AUGAUGCGAUGGGGGGACGGAUCGCGGAAGGUUGUCCGGGUGUUGGAAGUCCCGGUCCCUGUAUUGGAGAAGGCGCUCAGGCAAAUCCGGGCGCGGAAUUCAAGAGUAUGGGGCGAGCGGCCUUGAGCUGCGAAGCAAUCGGAAGUGGUUCCAAGAAAAGCCUCUAAGCUUCAGUCAUACGAGACCGUACCGCAAACCGACAC
RNAcentral lists this ribosomal RNA (203 nucleotides) under Cupriavidus phytohabitans. RNAcentral's name for it is "Cupriavidus sp. AcVe19-1a partial 23S ribosomal RNA". It matches the Rfam family "Bacterial large subunit ribosomal RNA", at positions 1456 to 1660 of the family's 2925-position model. The record is from RNAcentral. Lineage: Bacteria; Pseudomonadati; Pseudomonadota; Betaproteobacteria; Burkholderiales; Burkholderiaceae.